RNAcentral lists this ribosomal RNA (328 nucleotides) under uncultured eukaryote. Its description in RNAcentral is "partial 18S ribosomal RNA". It matches the Rfam family "Eukaryotic small subunit ribosomal RNA", at positions 1470 to 1796 of the family's 1831-position model. The record is from RNAcentral.
CCCUUAGAUGUCCUGGGCCGCACGCGCGCUACACUGAUGCAUUCAACGAGCUUAUAACCUUGGCCGAGAGGCCCGGGCAAUCUUGUUAACGUGCAUCGUGAUAGGGAUAGAUUAUUGAAAUUAUUAAUCUUGAACGAGGAAUUCCUAGUAAACGCAGAUCAUCAAUCUGCAUUGAUUACGUCCCUACCCUUUGUACACACCGCCCGUCGCACCUACCGACUGGAUGGUCCGGUGAAGCCUCGGGAUUGUGGUUCUUGCCGCUUUAUUGUGGCGUGACCGCGAGAACUUGUCUAAACCUUAUCAUCUAGAGGAAGGUGAAGUCGUAACA